AGUUGUUGCUGGUCCUCAAUGGGGGCAUGUGCACGCUCUGUUUACAUACCCACUCACACCUGUGCACCCUCUGUAGUUCUGUGGUGUGGGGGACUCUGUCCUCCCGCUGUGGUUCUACGUCUUUACACACACACACAGUUUCAUAGAAUGUAUGUCGCGUUUAACGCAAUACAAUACAACUUUCAGCAACGGAUCUCUUGGCUCUCGCAUCGAUGAAGAACGCAGCGAAAUGCGAUAAGUAAUGUGAAUUGCAGAAUUCAGUGAAUCAUCGAAUCUUUGAACGCACCUUGCGCCCUUUGGCUAUUCCGAAGGGCAUGCCUGUUUGAGUAUCAUGAACACCUCAACUCUCAUGGUUUGCCAUGAUGAGCUUGGACUUUGGGGGUCUUGCUGGCCUAUGGGUCGGCUCCUCUCAAAUGGAUCAGCUUGCCGGUGUUUGGUGGCAUCACAGGUGUGAUAACUAUCUACGCUUGUGAUUUUCCAUCAGGUAACCUUCAGUGAUGGAGGUUCGCUGGGGCUCAUAAAUGUCUCUCCUCAGUGAGGA
RNAcentral lists this ribosomal RNA (541 nucleotides) under uncultured Tomentella. Its description in RNAcentral is "eukaryotic LSU rRNA". The stretch from base 178 to 332 matches the Rfam family "5.8S ribosomal RNA". The record is from RNAcentral. Lineage: Eukaryota; Fungi; Basidiomycota; Agaricomycetes; Thelephorales; Thelephoraceae.